Molecule: transfer RNA, 86 nt
Filed under: candidate division WS6 bacterium OLB20
Lineage: Bacteria
Description: tRNA-Leu
Rfam family: tRNA
About the family: Transfer RNA (tRNA) molecules are approximately 80 nucleotides in length. Their secondary structure includes four short double-helical elements and three loops (D, anti-codon, and T loops). Further hydrogen bonds mediate the characteristic L-shaped molecular structure. tRNAs have two regions of fundamental functional importance: the anti-codon, which is responsible for specific mRNA codon recognition, and the 3' end, to which the tRNAs corresponding amino acid is attached (by aminoacyl-tRNA synthetases). tRNAs cope with the degeneracy of the genetic code in two manners: having more than one tRNA (with a specific anti-codon) for a particular amino acid; and 'wobble' base-pairing, i.e. permitting non-standard base-pairing at the 3rd anti-codon position.
Source: RNAcentral
GCUGGUGUGGUGGAACUGGUAGACACGCGGGACUCAAAAUCCCGUACGGGUUACACCGUGUGUGGGUUCGACUCCCACCACCAGCA